This 467-nucleotide ribosomal RNA is filed under the name uncultured bacterium. RNAcentral's name for it is "partial 16S ribosomal RNA". It matches the Rfam family "Bacterial small subunit ribosomal RNA", at positions 29 to 507 of the family's 1533-position model. The record is from RNAcentral.
ACGAACGCUGGCGGCGUGCUUAACACAUGCACGACGAACGGAAAGGCCCUGCUUUUGUGGGGUGCUCGAGUGGCGAACGGGUGAGUAACACGUGAGUAACCUGCCCUUGACUUUGGGAUAACUUCAGGAAACUGGGGCUAAUACCGGAUAGGAGCUCCUGCUGCAUGGUGGGGGUUGGAAAGUUUCGGCGGUUGGGGAUGGACUCGCGGCUUAUCAGCUUGUUGGUGGGGUAGUGGCUUACCAAGGCUUUGACGGGUAGCCGGCCUGAGAGGGUGACCGGCCACAUUGGGACUGAGAUACGGCCCAGACUCCUACGGGAGGCAGCAGUGGGGAAUAUUGCACAAUGGGCGGAAGCCUGAUGCAGCAACGCCGCGUGCGGGAUGACGGCCUUCGGGUUGUAAACCGCUUUCGCCUGUGACGAAGCGUGAGUGACGGUAAUGGGUAAAGAAGCACCGGCUAACUACGUG